Maylandia zebra (zebra mbuna) is the source of this 153-nucleotide non-coding RNA. NCBI's taxonomy places the organism in Eukaryota, Metazoa, Chordata, Actinopteri, Cichliformes, Cichlidae. The record is from RefSeq and is a predicted model, not a curated record.
UGCAGAAGUUACCAGAGAGCAGCUCAGCAUCCAGAGAGAAACACUCUGUGGAUGAACAUGGAGCUGCACUGUUGAAGAGAGUAAAAGAACAGGAAGCUGUCAGACAGAUUCUCUUGGAAACACUGAAUGAAUUCAGUCAAAAGGAUCUCGAAA